UUUUUUUUGCGUUAUAUUUCCCAAGCCUAUUUCCUCUUUAAUGCACCUUUCAUAAGGGAAUAAAUUGGUUGCAGUACAUUUAUCUACUAUCAAGGCCUCUUUUAAUUUGGGUGCAAAAAUCCUAUAAGCUGGGCCAUGAGGCCUGGUUCAUUAACUAAAUGGAAUUAUACACAAAAUAAAAAAUAACUAAAAAGAGCCGUGUACUCAAUGUAUGGAGGCUGAUGCAUGCAUAUUGUAUGUUUCAAUGAUUUCCUGAACCCUAUGUGCAAAUAUUUUAACUGCGGCUCCGACUCACCCUCAAAUUAUAGGUGAUUACCUGUUUAGCGCAUUAAUAGCACGAGCAAACAAAUGGUUGGAGAUGAUUUCUAAACAUAAUUCAGGAUUCAAAGGUUCAUGGUGCAUUUGCGGGGUUCAGUGGUAUAACAACAGGCAUUUGCAAUACCCAUUAUGUGUAUCUUCCCAUUACAGAAGUUAUCAGAACUCAAAGACGUGUUGACCCCAAUAGCAGAAUGUGGCACCGUUGUUUGACCUCAACUGGCCAGCCUCACUUCACUACACCUUCCUCUUCCUAAUUUUAUAUUCUACAUAAAUUAGAAUAUUUAAUAAUCUCUAGACCUUUUUAUUCUUAUUUCACCACUAUUCAACUUUAAGGAGAUAAGAAAUUUUAUAUUCUGAAAUACGCCACAAAUCAUUUAAUUGUGUCAUGAGUCAUACUAGUUUUAAUCUUUAUAGUGGAGGCUAAAAUUUGCCGAUAAUAAUAUUUUUGUUGCAUUCGUGUUUUACAAAAGUAAUGAUAAGAAGAGUUGGGACUAUUUAAGUGAUUUUCAUGUACAGGGGUGGAAUUUAUGAAUCAUUCCAAAUUCAGUUUAUUUGAAAAAUGAUGAAUAAGAUGAUCAAUAU
Molecule: long non-coding RNA, 900 nt
Organism: Dendrobium catenatum
Lineage: Eukaryota; Viridiplantae; Streptophyta; Magnoliopsida; Asparagales; Orchidaceae
Exons: 2
Source: RefSeq, a predicted model, not a curated record